AUUGACUCAAAUUAACCAAUUUUACUUAAAUUACCCAAUUCUAACCCGAUCCGACCCGAUCCGAACCUACCAAAUAAUAUAACCCAUUUUUGUUCUAUCUUGUUCAUCUUCAUCUUUAAUGUUGGAUUCCUUUUCAAAAACAACCUGUAAACAAUACAUUUGAAAACACCCAUCAAACAAUUAGCAAAAACCACCUGCUCCAUCCACGAACUCCAGCGAAGAGCGAACGCCGCCAGUCCCCUCCCUUUCCCCUUUUACGUUUCGCCGCUAGUCCCCUCCCUUUUCCCCUUUUAGUUUCGCCGCCAGUCCCCCUCCCUUUUCUCCUUUUACGUUUUCUUCUAUUGGAUAUGUGUUUUUGGCUCCAACUCCGGUGAAUAAUGACCAUGAACUCCGGCGAGGCUCUGCAAAUCAGCAGCCACCACAGCCUCUCUCCCAACGCCAAAAUCAGCAAACCCAUUUCUCGAACCAGUUAACAACACCAACACAGCUCCACGACCAAGCUUCACCCCCAUUUUCCGAUGACCCUCUAUUUUCUUUCCAUUCUUAUAUUUUAUGAUGAUUUAUUUUUCUUUUACAUUUUUCACUCUAUUCUCUGUGUUUCAGAUUUGGUUAGGGAGUUCAAGCUCCAAUAAUUUUUCAUUCAUAUUCGUUGUUCAAGUUUGUGUAUGCUAUUACACUUUGUUGUUGAUUAUUUUAAUUUUUGGUUUGAUAUUAUUGUAUUUUUGGGCACUGUUACAGCUUUUGCUUGUUAAUUUGUUAUUAUGUUGGACUUUUUUUUUAUUAAUUUUAAAGUUGAAGAUUAACAGAAAUGAAGAUGAACAAAAAUGGGUUUAUAUUAUUUGGUGGUUCGGGUCGGGUCGGAUCGGGUUAGAAUUGGGUAAUUUAAAUAAAAUUGGUUAAUUUGAGUCAAUUUGGGGAUUUCCGUCAAUUGAGGGGUAUAAAUGGUGAAAUUGGUAACGGCAAGGGCAUAAAUAACUUUGUUU
Molecule: long non-coding RNA, 983 nt
Filed under: Solanum tuberosum (potato)
Lineage: Eukaryota; Viridiplantae; Streptophyta; Magnoliopsida; Solanales; Solanaceae
Description: long non-coding RNA (STUB_LNC002184)
Source: RNAcentral